UCAGUAGGAAGAGCGUCAGUCUCAUAAUCUGAAGGUCGAGAGUUCGAACCUCCCCUGGAGCA
This 62-nucleotide transfer RNA is filed under the name Saccharomyces cerevisiae YJM1447. RNAcentral's name for it is "partial tRNA-Met". It matches the Rfam family "tRNA", at positions 12 to 71 of the family's 71-position model. Rfam says of the family: Transfer RNA (tRNA) molecules are approximately 80 nucleotides in length. Lineage: Eukaryota; Fungi; Ascomycota; Saccharomycetes; Saccharomycetales; Saccharomycetaceae. The record is from RNAcentral.